CGGGGAUGGGCCUCGGCGGAGGAGGAGGUGAUGCCCUCGACGGAGGUGAUCGUCGAUCAACUAGACCGUGCUUCUACACAAAUAACAUUACAAAUUAUUAACUUAAUUAAUAAUUGCUAACUCAUAAAAACGUUAAUCAAUAAAUUAUAUAAAAUUCAUGCACCUCCCGCACCAGCUCUCGACCUUCGUCCUCCAUCGAUGGCGUCAACUCAGUUAUGACCUGAACCUGACAUUAUGUUUUCAACUCAGUUAAUGAUUGCGUAAUGAGAUUUUAAACUAGCCCACAAUAUAAACUACAAAGUACAUAAUACUCACAUGAAGGUCAUCAAGAAGAGUCGAUAACUGUUUCGCAGAUGGACACCUGUCCGCUCGAGAUGCUCACCAGUGAUGCAUUCGAAGGCAUCGUGUCUCCAG
This 414-nucleotide long non-coding RNA is filed under the name Olea europaea (common olive). RNAcentral describes it as "long non-coding RNA (OEUR_LNC011018)". Lineage: Eukaryota; Viridiplantae; Streptophyta; Magnoliopsida; Lamiales; Oleaceae. The record is from RNAcentral.